UGCAGGAACCUGCCCUUGCUGAGGUUGUGAUGCUUGGCUAUGCUGAUGAGAUGAGGUAACUUCUUCAGGAGCCUGCCUUCCAUAGCUCAUCUGGGUCCAGCUUCCUCCGCUGCUAUCAAGUUGAGGAGAUGCAAUACUAACAGGUAAAUCAUGCUUCAAUUUAGACUUUGAUUGAGCGCUCUGUUGCUGUUGCAAUUUCAAUUCUGCAGCUAUAGCAGGAGGCUCAGUAGCUUGAUGCGAAUGUGACUCAUCUUUCUGAAAAUCAGCUUGAGAAGAUGUGCUUAAUUUCAUGUCCAAUGGAUCAGGUUCAUCACAUCCAGAGGCCUCAACUGUGUCCAUACCAUCGUGAACUUUGCUGCCACAUGGAACCGUAAUUACUUGUUCUGAAAGUUCAGUCUCAACUAGAGUGUUCAAAGUCACCUGCCGACUGUCAGAGUCUGGAG
This 443-nucleotide long non-coding RNA is filed under the name Musa acuminata (dwarf banana). RNAcentral's name for it is "long non-coding RNA (MACU_LNC005031)". Lineage: Eukaryota; Viridiplantae; Streptophyta; Magnoliopsida; Zingiberales; Musaceae. The record is from RNAcentral.